Molecule: ribosomal RNA, 406 nt
Filed under: uncultured bacterium
Lineage: Bacteria
Description: partial 16S ribosomal RNA
Rfam family: Bacterial small subunit ribosomal RNA
Source: RNAcentral
AUUGAACGCUGGCGGCAGGCCUAACACAUGCAAGUCGAGCGAGCGGCGGACGGGUGAGUAAUGUCUGUGAAACUGCCUGAUGGAGGGGGAUAACUACUGGAAACGGUAGCUAAUACCGCAUACCAUCAGAUGUGCCCCGAUGGGUUUAGCUAGUAGGUGGGGUAACGGCUCACCUAGGCGACGAUGCCUAGCUGGUCUGAGAGGAUGACCAGCCACACUGGAACUGAGACACGGUCCAGACUCUUACGGGAGGAAGCAGUGGGAAAUGUUGGACAAUGAGCGCAAGCCUGAUGCAGCCAUGCCGAGUGUGUGAAGAAGGCCUUCGGGUUGAAAAGCACUUUCAGCGGGGAGGCGUUACCCGCAGAGGAAGCACCGGCUAACUCCGUGCCAGCAGCCGCGGUAAUAC